Molecule: ribosomal RNA, 424 nt
Filed under: Rhode scutiventris
Lineage: Eukaryota; Metazoa; Arthropoda; Arachnida; Araneae; Dysderidae
Description: partial 16S ribosomal RNA
Rfam family: Bacterial large subunit ribosomal RNA
Source: RNAcentral
UUCUUUUAGACUUAAUUAAAAGUAACCUCUGCUCUCUGCAACUUAACAGCCGCUGUCCGCAGUGCUAAGGUAGCAUAAUCACUUGCCUUCUAAAUGAAGGAUAGAAUGAAUGAGCAUACGAUCUCAUAACUCUAUCAUUAUUACACACUAAAACUAUACUAAAAGUAAAAAUACCUUUAAACUUUAGCAAGACGAUAAGACCCUGACGAACUUACAUCAAUUUGACUAGGAUGGUCUCCACAACAAAAUCUUACCCUAUAUUACGAAAAAACAACAUAUUAACACAAGUUACCGCAGGGAUAACAGCAUAAUUUGCUUCAAAAGACCAUAUCUAAAAGCAAGAUUAUGACCUCGAUGUUGAAUAAAUACUCUAGGAUAAGCAAAAAUAUCCUAAGAUAGACUGUUCGUCUAUUAAAUAUUUACA